Felis catus (domestic cat) is the source of this 2485-nucleotide long non-coding RNA. RefSeq lists it as uncharacterized. The transcript is spliced from 2 exons. The record is from RefSeq and is a predicted model, not a curated record. NCBI's taxonomy places the organism in Eukaryota, Metazoa, Chordata, Mammalia, Carnivora, Felidae.
AAGGAAGAAAGAAAACUGUGAUGGACACUGCUGUGUUAUUGACCAACGAGAAUCCACUAACCUCUCCCAUCAGGGCCUUAAUGUCCUUUCAGAGGAUCAUCUCUCCCGCCCCCACAGGGAGCAGCAUGAGAAGAGACUGUUUAGACCAGGGGGAGUUUCUGCUGUUUCCCGCUGCUGUGACGGAUGCUUUAAGGUUAGUAAAUGGAUCUCCUUUACUUAUGGUCUGCUUUUUAAAAUGGUGUUUUUGCACUGGUCUCUGGGUACAGUGAGUCUGCAACUCAGCCCUUUAAGAGUGCAUUUUCCAUUCUCUACAGUUUUAUAGUUUUUUUGAACAUAAUCCUCAUUGAGUUUCAAAACCUGGUGUUUUGGGAGCUCAUCUCUCCUGUGGAGGAUCUAAGGUUUGGGGUGCCUGAUGUAGAGCUCAAAUCCAUCACUCCUCAGGGAAAAGUUCCAUACCUUUGAGAUCCCUCCUAGUUGUGCUUCCCCAUGGCUGAUGUGUUUUCCCCCCUGGCAAGUCCACAUCUCUGUGUCUCCUCCUUCCCAUCCUGAUGUUACCCUUUCAGCCUUUGUCGUGGAGGCUUUGGUCAUCCAAUUUUCAGGUUCCUUUCAGAGGGCAUUAUUCCAUAUGUAGCUGUAGAUUUGUUGGUUUGUGGAAGGAGGUGAAUUCAGGGUCUUGUUACAUUGCCAUCUCGAGACCAACUCUGUUCUGCCAUUUCUUGAGUGUGUUGCCUUGUAAUAACAAUUAUUUAUCGUGUGGCUCUCAGCUUUUUUAUCUGUAAAAUAGGGUUGAGACUAUGUCAUGUAACUGUAACCAGCAUCCCAUUGGUGAUCACUUAAUGCUCAAACACCUCCCCCAAUCUGACCUCCUUUCACAUCCCCAUCAUGAGGCAGCUAGCUGCCUGUGCAGCCAGGUCUUGGGAGGAGUUCCAUAAUGAAAGCUAAACUCACAUUUUGGGGGCAUCUGCUAUAUGCCCACACCGUGCUAAAUGUUAACAUGGAUUGUCUCAUUCAGUCUUCACAAUGGCUUUGUUAAAGUCGAAGCUUAGAGAAGUGAUCUGCUCAGGAUCACAGCACAUGGCAGGAUCGAUUUUCUAUUCAAAGUCAACAUAUUUGCUUCUAGUUAAUGUAUCGAUUUCCUGUGGGCUUGGUUAGCGUAAGCCAGUGUUGAUCCCUGAGUGAAGAGAUGAAAGGAGCACCUCGACCUGUGAGGUGGAAACCUGGUCUCUGCAGUUGUGACCUCCUGUGGCUGUUGGUUCAAGGAUGUCCAGAGUCCCAGGGCCAAGGAAUGGAAAAAUACUGCUCCGGCUCACCUACUCGCUGCCAUAGGAGCACUUGGGUGGCUGGGCCACUCUGAAUGGAGCCUGUGAUGGAGCUGAUCAUGUGAAUAAAGGCAGGGUUGCCACAAUCAGGGUCCCUGACUUUGAAUUAAUAGAACCAAUUGUGGCAACAAGGGUUCUGAAUGUCCUUCGUGACUUAGACUGAGAGCUAGACAGCCAGCCAGAAGGCCUGCAGAACUUAAACACAGAGGCAUUUAUUGUCAGAGAGGGCAAAUCUUACACUCAAAUGGGUUUUGCCAUAUACGCAUCAAAAGGGAGAUGCCCCCACCUCCCCCCAUGGUGCAGGUUCCAGUUAUCCUGUGGCCUGGCAACCCCUGUUCUCUUCCCAACAGCAGCAGAAGUUGAAGUCCCUCCAGGUUACCCAGCAGCUAGAAGGGAUGAGGCCGGACAGACUCCUGAAUGCCAUCUGCCUGAGUCCCACCUAUUCUCUAAGCUUCAGGGAAACUGGAAAACGUCCCAACUGGCAAAGCGUACUUUCUUAAAAAGCUGGACAAAAGUAUGGGGCAUUCCGUUGCUUAACAAAACAAAAUCAACUGGUCUGGUGACCUGAUGCUGCAGCAACAUCUUGGAAGAGACAGGGAGUCUCCCUGGGGAAUGAGGGGCAGGAAGAAAGGCCCAGGCAUAGAUGUCCCCCUCGGAACCUCUGCUCAGAAGGGGGCAGACGGAGGGGCCAAGCCAGUUAGAGAGGGGGUCCCUCCCUGGCUGCAUUAGGAUGGUCUCUGGUCUUCAGUGCCAGGCCUCAGUCUUCAGUCACAGGUGGGGGAAUGAGCUGCAGCUGGAAGUUCUCAUUCUGGAAGAUGCUGUUGAAAGCAGGGCCACUCUGGGAGCCACUGAACGGCCUGUAGCUGUCACUGCUGCGAUUCUGGGAGAGUUCUGUAAGGAGGGCCAGCUGCAAAGGAGGGGACACACAUCAACCAAGGUGAGUAGGGGAAGACACUGUGGGUGGGUUUGGCAGGGGGUGUGGAACAGAGUGGAGGGUCCUCAGUUCCUUGGCCUUGAAUACACAAGGGACAGCACUGUGCUGCAGGGUAUAGACCCCAGGGCUGCAUCUCACAAACAAGUAAUGUAACUUCGGGCAAGUUCAUUUCACUUUCAGGGCCCAAAUUUCCUCCUUUAAUAAUGAUGAGACUGCACUGGGGAUGUCUCAU